GACGAACGCUGGCGGCGUGCCUAAUACAUGCAAGUAGAACGCUGAAGGAGGAGCUUGCUUCUCUGGAUGAGUUGCGAACGGGUGAGUAACGCGUAGGUAACCUGCCUGGUAGCGGGGGAUAACUAUUGGAAACGAUAGCUAAUACCGCAUAAUAGUAGAUGUUGCAUGACAUUUGCUUAAAAGGUGCAAUUGCAUCACUACCAGAUGGACCUGCGUUGUAUUAGCUAGUUGGUGGGGUAACGGCUCACCAAGGCGACGAUACAUAGCCGACCUGAGAGGGUGAUCGGCCACACUGGGACUGAGACACGGCCCAGACUCCUACGGGAGGAAGCAGUAGGGAAUCUUAGGCAAUGGACGGAAGUCUGACCGAGCAACGCCGCGGGAGUGAAGAAGGGUUUCGGAUCGUAAAGCUCUGUUGUAAGAGAAGAACGAGUGUGAGAGUGGAAAGUUCACACUGUGACGGUAGCUUACCAGAAAGGGACGGCUAACUACGUG
Molecule: ribosomal RNA, 495 nt
Filed under: uncultured bacterium
Lineage: Bacteria
Description: partial 16S ribosomal RNA
Rfam family: Bacterial small subunit ribosomal RNA
Source: RNAcentral